Non-coding RNA from Camelina sativa (false flax), 1443 nucleotides. The record is from RefSeq and is a predicted model, not a curated record. Lineage: Eukaryota; Viridiplantae; Streptophyta; Magnoliopsida; Brassicales; Brassicaceae.
CUAAAAAGAUCUCACUCUUGAUAUGGCCAAGAAAACCACGGAGAUCUAUGCAAAUAACACCCGUAAUUUUACUAUUUUAGUCAAUACAUAAAAUCUAUGCUCUCAGAAGGUGUUUGAUUUUUGUGUAUGGAAGAAACUGAUUUUUGUUUUAAAUAUAUUUAUAGAGUGACGGAGGAAUAGAUGAAAUAAAUGGCAUGCAAAUUGCCAUUUAUCUGUGAUGUGCUAAAUCACGGAAGCUUUGGGUCAUUUUAUACAUUUCAACACCGAGUCAUUUAUACACCAACCCCGUGUGAAUUGCUUAAACAAAAACGACAAAACAACCCCGUGUGAAUUUUCAUAGACGACAUCUUGUGAGGAGGUUGGGUUGAACCCGUUCAAGAAAAUUUCAAAUUCACUUGGGUAUGUCACAAGAUAUGUCACAAAAUCCAGUUUUUGUCGGCGUAAUGGGCUUUCAAUGAUAUAUAACCUUCACGAGAAAUUGUUAUCCAACAAUCAGAAGUUAAACAUAUCAUACUCUGAAUCCUUUUCAACUCCAUCUUCAGCUUAUUCUUCUCGCUCUCCCAAGUUUUAACAAUAUCCAUUGCUGCUGUGUUUCUAGUGUAGUAGUUGUAAGCUGGAUUCAUAUAUUGAAAAAAACCCUCUCAGCUCUUCAUAUUCAACAAGAGCAAAAAGAAGAUUGUGUCAAAUUAUAGAUCUACUGAACAACACUCUCAUCAAUCUUCAUUCUCCUAGUCUUUCCAUCUCCAUCAAUUAUCAUAUCAGCUACAUUCCUAUAUUUUGGCUUUUUUUAAUGCAUCUCAUAUGAUGACGCUUCGUUGGAAAUGUUCAUGUGGUAGAUUCAAACACAAUUUUAUCACCACAAUAGUUACACUGAACUCGAUUCUUAUCAUCGACACCUUUUCCAAUAUGAGUAAAAUGUUUCUACAUUUUUGAAGUUUUUCUCCUUGGUUUACAAGAUUUUUCGUGAGGCUCACCUCCAGUUUCAUCACCAAAUCAAUGAUGGCUCGUUGGUUAGAUCAAUAUCAAUCAUCACCGUCAUCCAUCAUCAUCUCUUCUUCGUCAACUACUUUUGACUCCGAAUCUUCUAUAUUAUCUGUAAAACAAAAAAAAAUAUAUAUAUUAGCCAAAAAUAACAUGCAUGGAUUUAGUUCAGAUAAAAAAACAUGCAUGGGCUCAAAUAUGUAAGUUAUAACAUAAUCUAUCGGUUCCACUAAGGAAGGACACAAGAAGCCAUUAGCCAGUCUAAUUUGUUUUUACGUACAUCAUAACAGAUUAUAUAAUAUAUAUGUUUUUUUUAUUAACCCAUGGAUAACCCAUAACCCUGGGGCUUACUAAGAGGUGGCGGUCGGGGCAUUACAAGUGGUAUCAGAGCCAAACUCAGAUGAGUGUGGAGUCAAGUGGACUCACACCAUCGGGGUAACUGUCUUGGUACGCAACAAGGAU